UGCGCAAUGGGACUGCUCGACUAUUUUCAACGAAAUAAUGACAGUUCCACUCCCAAAAUCUCACCCGCGACGGCGUUGUGUCUUUAGAAUCGAUUUUAUUUGUGUUUUUGUCGACGUUUAUGGCGACACUUUGUUCACAGCGCUUCGUCUGAAGUUGUCCAGACGGUGGGAAUCUUCGGGUCGGUGACGGCUGUCGUGUGUCGGCGACGUGACGGGACUCGGCUUCGUGAUUUGCGGGCAAUUCCGCGUCUUAUUCGUCUCGUUUUGAUCGCUCACUUCCACAGUAUUUACCCUUCUCUGUGUUGAAUGAAUGGGCCCUCAGUGCGCAUGCGCGCAGGAUCCCAAAGUUUAUAAACAAGACGCAGUCACAUGACGAGAUAAUUACGAACCCGAUCGGAGUGAAACGUGUCGUUUUUAUUGUGUAACAAUUCAGAUCGGGAGCAUUUCGCCUUGUUAAAGCAACAUUUUAUGGUCAGACGCUGAGGGGAGGCAGAGGAAACUAACCUUGGUGCUGCUGUGAUGUAAUGGAGUAAACUCCUGCGUUACCCCAUGUCACCCCGACCAUUUAUAGCCUAUACAUUACAGCUGACUGACAGCAGGGUUGAGUUUCUGUGUGUCAGGGUGAGGGUGGGUGACACCACACGAGCAGAUGCACAGUGACUUGGACAUCAUGGUGUGGGAGGUGGUGACUCCACCUGUGCAGUCAAACAAGCCUCAGGGUGUCAGCAUGCAGGAGCCUGAGCCUCAGUCUGAUCACACAGAAGUGAUGAUGGAUGCAGAUGGACACCAACCACAUGACCCGCUCCGCUGUGACGAACACUUCCCCUCCUCGCCCGGCUUCCCCACCAGUGACACUUACAUGGAAUAUGAUGACCUCCCGGAUCUCCAGGAGGUUCGGGAGGAAGCCGAGUCGAUGGGAGUAGCCGUCUACCAGGUGGAGGUGGGCGUGUCCCACCAGGAGCGACGCGCUCGCAGCCCGCCGCCUCCGGACACGCACUGGCUGACUCAGCUGGCUCACAUCGCCACCGGACCUCAGAGUCCGCUGCUGCAGGAGUCUCCUCACAGCUCCUCUUCAUUCUGCAUCCAGAACAGCAGUCGAGAUCUACAUUCCUACGCUCGUCCUCCUCCUCCUCCUCCUCCUCCUGCUGCUCCUCUUCCCGGCAGCAGUGUGUCGUCAGCCAGAGGUCACGGCAGGGAGCGCCGGCGCAGCAGGAGGAGCAGUGAAUGUGGCUCGGCAGUGUCGGUCAGAUCCUCCCUGUCUGAUGAGGAAGACAUGGGCUGGAGCUUCUCCUGCCCUCCCACCGCAUGGCACUGCUUUCUCAAAGGAACUCGCCUGCGUUUCCACAGCGGGUCGAACGUCAAGUGGCAGGACGUGGAAUCUGUUGAGGAAGACUCUGGCGGUGAAGAGCAGUCCAGACCUCUAAAGAGUUACGCCUCUGAAGGGCUGAAGCUGCUGGAGCACGCGGAAAUCGUGCUGUCCGGUCAGGCCGCCCUCCAGUUGACCUUUGACCCCGGGGCGUUCGGCAGCAGCCUCCUGACCGCCCGCUGCCAGCUCGACCAUCCCUUCUACGUCAGGAACAAAGGGUGGUCGUCUUUCUACCCCAGCUUGACCGUGGUGCAUUAUGGGAUACCGUGCUACGAAAUGGAAGUGGGAGACGUGUGCCUUCCUCCGGGACACAGAGAUGCCAAGCAGACGGACGACUCGCUGGUCUUCGACACGUUCAAGAGUUACGACUUCACUCCUCUGGACUCGUCGGCGGUUUACGUGCUGAGCAGCAUGGCCAGACGGCGGCGGGCGUCCCAGUCCAGCGGGGGAGCCGCCUCUCCAGACAGAGACACGCUACGAGACACACACAGUCCCAGCCAUUCCCGCGCCUCUCCCAGCAAGUCCACCAAAAGCCCGCAGCCCGGCGUCCAGGCGGCCAGCGGCGCCACGCCCGCCAAGUGCAAGAGGCCCAUGAACGCCUUCAUGCUGUUCGCCAAGAAGUUCCGGGUGGAGUACACGCAGAUGUACCCGGGGAAAGACAACAGAGCGAUCAGCGUCCUGCUCGGUGAGCGGUGGAAGAAAAUGCGAAGCGAGGAGCGGCGCACUUUCACGCUACAGGCCAAAGCGCUGGCAGAGGAGCAGAAGAGACUCAACCCCGACUGCUGGAAACGCAAGAGAACCAACUCUGGCUGCCAGGGAAAUUAGAAGAAAAGAGGACGACUGACUGCGCCUGUAGGAGUGCAAACACACACUUACACACACACGCACGUGCCGAAGCCACACAAAAAUCUAUGCAUCUUGUAAUACCGCACCUCAGUGCGACUUCAUGUGUCGUCCCAGACGUGCGCGAUUCACGUCGGCGCUUUCCAAAAAGGAAUUCUAACGAGGCGUCAGACCCGACCUUCCAGAGCGACGAUACAGACACAAAACACGGAGAUCCUGACGGACGUCGGUUUCUCCCCGGAUGCUUGACGCCGGCGGACGUCGUGGUGCUGUAGCGUUUUAGCCAAAGUAGGAAAUGUAGCUAUUUUCCCAAAAUUCUAUAUGAAAUACACAACUUAUUUUAUUGCCUGUAUUACUUGUAUUUGGACUCAGUGUUAUUGCACAGAAGAUGAUAUAUAUUUUAACUUUGCUUUUUAUGUAUAAUGUAGUUUAGUAAAUAAUCUUCGGGGCCGCGGUUUUCCUCACGUCAGCCUUUAUUUCUCCCAGUUCCUUUAAUUUCUUCACCUGGUCGAAGGUGGUCUGUGAAUUUUUCAUGCUAGAGUUAAAUAUAUCGAUUGAAUUAUUAUUUGUAUUGAUCAAGUACGAUCAGCUAAACAGAGCAUAUUUAGAAUUUAGCAUUUUAGCUUCGAUUACAGCUCGUGCCAUUGAAUCAAAGCACCAAGAUAUAAACAGAGCUUAACGUGGACGUGAAGACGGAAACAUGUUACAUGACGGAAGCAUCGUAGGAUCCAGAGCAGACUCAGGAAACUGCGCAGUUCUUGUAUAUCGAGGGCAGCACUGCUCUUUAAACCUGCCCAUCAGCAGCAGAGCGAGGGAUCAAGGCGAUUUCAAACCCAGGACUUUUAUUCUGGAGCGUCCUCAGAGUGUGUGUGUGUGUGUGUGUGUGUGUCUGUGGGAACUGUUGAAGCAGGUGUGUGCAGAUGUGUUUUUUUUAUCCCCUCCUCAUAAUCUCACUGCUUAACGAGGUUUUAUCCUUAAUGCACUAUAUACACUUUAUCUCGCUCCAGUGUCAUGAUUAUUAAGAAUCUAUAGAAAAUAUCUUUUUUUUUUUUUUUUGGUUUUCAUGCUUUUGGAUUAUUUGUCUUGUCAAUCAAUGCAAUCCAGUGUAACUGUAGUUAAAAAAAAAAAACCCAAUAAAACGCAUGAGAAACGUG
Salarias fasciatus (jewelled blenny) is the source of this 3363-nucleotide RNA transcript. It is a transcript of the gene named HMG box-containing protein 1-like, with no coding region annotated. The transcript has 14 exons. Lineage: Eukaryota; Metazoa; Chordata; Actinopteri; Blenniiformes; Blenniidae. The record is from RefSeq and is a predicted model, not a curated record.